AAAUGCGAUAAGUAAUGUGAAUUGCAGAAUUCAGUGAAUCAUCGAAUCUUUGAACGCACAUUGCGCCCGCCAGUAUUCUGGCGGGCAUGCCUGUUCGAGCGUCAUUACAACCCUCAGGCCCCCGGGCCUGGCGUUGGGGAUCGGCGGAAGCCCCCUGCGGGCACAACGCCGUCCCCCAAAUACAGUGGCGGUCCCGCCGCAGCUUCCAUUGCGUAGUAGCUAACACCUCGCAACUGGAGAGCGGCGCGGCCACGCCGUAAAACACCCAACUUCUGAAUGUUGACCUCGAAUCAGGUAGGAAUACCCGCUGAACUUGAGC
RNAcentral lists this unclassified non-coding RNA (319 nucleotides) under plant metagenome. Its description in RNAcentral is "partial contains 5.8S ribosomal RNA, internal transcribed spacer 2, and large subunit ribosomal RNA". The stretch from base 1 to 104 matches the Rfam family "5.8S ribosomal RNA", at positions 51 to 154 of the family's 154-position model. The record is from RNAcentral.